UUAUGCUGAUAAGAGCGUAUGGUGGAUGCCUUGGCACUAAGAGCCGAUGAAAGACGUGAUAAGCUGCGAAAAGCUUCGGGGAGGGGCAAAUACCCAUCGAUCCGGAGAUUUCUGAAUGGGGAAACCUAACUGAGCAAACCUCAGUUAUCCUGACGCCAAUCCAUAACGUCAGGAAGGGAACCCGGUGAACUGAAACAUCUAAGUAGCCGGAGGAAGAGAAAACAACAUGUGAUUCUGUGAGUAGCGGCGAGCGAAAACGGAAGAGCCCAAACCGGGAUGCGUGCAUCCCGGGGUUCGGACCGCGGAAUUGAUUCAACAAGUUUAGCAGAACAGUUUUGGGAAAGCUGACCAAAGAGGGUGAAAGUCCCGUAAGCGAAAGGCGAGUUGACAUGGCGGUAUCCAGAGUAGGUCGAGACACGUGGAACCUUGACUGAAUAUGCGGGGACCACCCCGUAAGGCUAAAUACUCCUUAGUGACCGAUAGCGCAUAGUACUGUGAAGGAAAGGUGAAAAGGACCCCGGGAGGGGAGUGAAAAAGAACCUGAAACCAUAUGUUUACAAGCUGUGGAACAUCUUUAUAUGAUGAACCGCGUACUUUUUGUAGAACGGUCCGGCGAGUUACGCUGGCUGGCGAGGUUAAGCACUGAAGGUGCGGAGCCGAAGGGAAACCAAGUCUGAACAGGGCGAAAGUCAGUCGGAGUAGACCCGAAACCGGGUGAUCUAUCCAUGUCCAGGUUGAAGUUGCCGUAAAAGGCAAUGGAGGACCGAACCCACAUCCGUUGAAAAGGGUGGGGAUGAGGUGUGGAUAGGGGAGAAAUUCCAAUCGAACCCGGAGAUAGCUGGUUCUCCUCGAAAUAGCUUUAGGGCUAGCCUCAUACAAGUCUUGCGGAGGUAGAGCACUGAAUUCCUACGGGGGCGUCAAAGCUUACCAAGGGAUAUCAAACUCCGAAUGCCGUGUAGAUGAUGUAUGGGAGUCAGACUAUCCGAGAUAAGUUGGGUAGUCGAAAGGGAAAGAGCCCAGACCUGCAGCUAAGGCCCCAAAAUGUGUGUUAAGUGGAAAAGGAUGUGGGAUUUCGAAGACAACUAGGAUGUUGGCUUAGAAGCAGCCAUCCAUUAAAAGAGUGCGUAAUAGCUCACUAGUCGAGAGGUCCUGCGCCGAAAAUGUCCGGGGCUGAAACACACUGCCGAAGCUCAGGGAUGAACAGUGAUCAAUACAGAUCAAUGCAAGAGGAAAGCUUCUUGAUGAAAUCAAGAAGAUUCCAAAACAGAUGAAACAGACUGCUGUUGGUCUGCGUUGAUCACUGUUCAUCGGUAGAGGAGCAUUCUUAAAGAGACGAAGCUGUACCGAAAGGAGCAGUGGAUUUUUAAGAAGAGAGAAUGCCGGAAUGAGUAGCGAGAAAGAGGUGAGAAUCCUCUUGGCCGAAUAUCUAAGGUUUCCAGGGUAAAGCUGAUCUGCCCUGGGUAAGUCGGGGCCUAAGGCGAGGUCGAAAGACGUAGUCGAUGGAUAACAGGUUGAAAUUCCUGUACUAUCCUGUAACAGAACUGUGGGGACGCAGACAGAGAGCACAAGCCGGGAAUGGAAAGACCGGUGCAAGCGAGGUAGGAGUACAUCAGGCAAAUCCGGUGUGCAAUCCGAAGACGUGAUGCGGAUCGAAAAGAAGUAG
This 1663-nucleotide ribosomal RNA is filed under the name Lachnospiraceae bacterium 1_1_57FAA. RNAcentral describes it as "bacterial LSU rRNA". It matches the Rfam family "Bacterial large subunit ribosomal RNA", at positions 1 to 1585 of the family's 2925-position model. Lineage: Bacteria; Bacillati; Bacillota; Clostridia; Lachnospirales; Lachnospiraceae. The record is from RNAcentral.